This 650-nucleotide long non-coding RNA is filed under the name Nicotiana benthamiana. Its description in RNAcentral is "long non-coding RNA (NBEN_LNC012328)". Lineage: Eukaryota; Viridiplantae; Streptophyta; Magnoliopsida; Solanales; Solanaceae. The record is from RNAcentral.
CUCAACGGGUACCAAACCUCUUCUGCGGUCUCAACAUGGAUGGACCAAACCCACUUCUACGAAGACCAAGCCACUUUUGUGGCUUCAAUACUAGAAGAUAAAGGGAUCAGUUGCUGCACACUUCUAAAUAUCCUCCGCUAACCACCCAAAAUCAUUCUGAGGCCCCCGUGACCUCAACCAAAAGAACCAAUACCCCAUAAUACCUCAUUAGAACUUGUACCAAUCCUUAAAACUCCUAAAACAACACUGGAAAUCUGAUUAAAUCAAAGAUUCAAGCCUAAGAACCUCAUGGUGAUCCAACAUAUGCUUUCGAUCAAAAACCUAACUAACACUCAUCCGAUUGACCUAAAAUUUUGCACACACGUCCCAAAUGACAUGAUGGUGCUACAACAACUUUAGAAAUUCUGUUUCGACCCUCAUAUCAAAACUCGCUAUCGGACCGAAAACUUCAAAAAUACAACCUUCGGCAUUUCAAGCCUAUAUGAGCUACGGGCUCCCAAAAUACUCUCUAAACAUGCUCCUAUCCCCGAAAUCACCCAACGGAGCUGAGGGAACUGUCGUAUUUCCAUUUUGAAGCAGUCUUCAAACUAUUUCGAUACGGACCACUUUCCAACAUUUAAGCUCUUCUUUAGGGACUAAGUGUCCCAAAA